RNAcentral lists this ribosomal RNA (107 nucleotides) under Adiantum reniforme var. sinense. RNAcentral describes it as "4.5S ribosomal RNA". RNAcentral also lists the same sequence under 2 other names. Lineage: Eukaryota; Viridiplantae; Streptophyta; Polypodiopsida; Polypodiales; Pteridaceae. The record is from RNAcentral.
UAAGGUCACGGCAAGACGAGCCGUUUAUCACUACGAACGAUAGGUGCUAGGUGGAGGUGCAGUAAUGUAUGCAGCUGAGGCAUCCUAACAGACCGAGAGGUUUGAAC